RNAcentral lists this long non-coding RNA (275 nucleotides) under Capsicum annuum. RNAcentral describes it as "long non-coding RNA (CANN_LNC002616)". The record is from RNAcentral. Lineage: Eukaryota; Viridiplantae; Streptophyta; Magnoliopsida; Solanales; Solanaceae.
GGUGGAGCACUAAUAGACUGAAUGUAGGGAUGAACAUCAUGACUCCCCUGUCUAGCAUAUGGACAAUCCCUAAAUCUGUGGCCCAACUUACCGCAACCAAAACAACCCCUCCGAUCGACUAAGCACUCACCAGGAUGGUCCCUACCGCACUUCGGAGAUGGUGUAGGACGAGGUCUGUUACUCACACUAUCCUAGGACCUGGAUAUAGUAGGCCUAUUACCUUGCUCCUGCCUAAUUUUGAAUGCGGAAGCACUGGCUAAUGAAGGCGCUGGCAC